GCAGGUCGUCAAACUCCAGUCCCGCCGAACGUUGCUUCGGAGCCCCUGGGAUGCGUCCCGCGGCAAGUGCCUCUUUCCCAGCGGCUGGAACGGAAGCCUGGGCCCUGGGCCUCCUUGGUUCCUGUGCCCAUGCGGACCAUCCACGGAGCGGAAAGUUCCUGGAAGCCCGCUGCCCAGCUCCUCCUGAGACCGCCCGGACCCUUCAGGGAUCUUUGAGUUGGUGAAACUUGUUGGAAAUGGAACAUAUGGACAAGUUUCUAAGAACUGGUUUUCAAAGGAGCAGAAGAUGCCAUUUACUUGAGAAAUCUAAGCUAUUAAAGUCAUCACAGUGGAAAAAGGAGCUUUGGUACCGUCCUGGAGUGCGAGCUCAGUGGGUUCAGUGAGCAGUGCCAGGAGGAGACUGGCUGCCUGACUGAGCAGAGACCUAGUGGCAGUGAUGCUUUUGGAAGGGAGGAAACCAAACUAGCCUUAAGAGAGGACUGAGCCGAGUAGUAAGACGUCCUUCCUGCCCUUUUACUAGUUUUUGCUUACAGAUUCACCUGAAAAAUGCUUUUAAAAGAUAUU
Manis pentadactyla (Chinese pangolin) is the source of this 564-nucleotide long non-coding RNA. RefSeq lists it as uncharacterized. The transcript has 3 exons. Lineage: Eukaryota; Metazoa; Chordata; Mammalia; Pholidota; Manidae. The record is from RefSeq and is a predicted model, not a curated record.